Molecule: ribosomal RNA, 273 nt
Filed under: uncultured Glomeromycotina
Lineage: Eukaryota; Fungi; Glomeromycota
Description: partial 28S ribosomal RNA
Source: RNAcentral
UGUUUGUGCGUUUUGGGUGUACUUUUUCGUAUGGUAGGCCAACGUCAGUUUCGAUUAUCAUAAAAUGACCGGCGGAAUGUAGCUUCGAUUUCGGUUGAAGUGUUAUAGCCUCUGGUAGAUGUGGUGAUUGAGACUGAGGAUUGCAACGAAUACCCUUUGGGCUAUCCGUCUGGCCUCUGAAAGUUGCUCAGGUGCCGAAAGCGUGCUUACGGUCAUCUAAGAUAACGUUCAACAGGUUAGAACGUGAUUACAUUCGUUAAGGAUGUUGACGUA